Long non-coding RNA from Capsicum annuum, 728 nucleotides. RefSeq lists it as uncharacterized. Lineage: Eukaryota; Viridiplantae; Streptophyta; Magnoliopsida; Solanales; Solanaceae. The transcript is spliced from 2 exons. The record is from RefSeq and is a predicted model, not a curated record.
UCUACAGAUGUAUACCCUACCGAUAUCAAAUAUUUCACCACGUUAUCAUUGGUAUAUGAGAAUGCCUUAUAAGUUCUUCUAAUAAGUUCACAAAGUUAAGUGUUAUUUCCAUAGGUAAACGAACGGCCAUAAUGAGCAAUUUGGAGUCAUCAUAUAACUCUUUGGCCUGUAGGAAGUGGUUCUAACAUGUUUUAUUCCGGUUUUGGAUUACUUAACAGAGCAAAGAUGGUACUUUGAGAACAGAAAUGGUGACAGCCUAUGAUUUUGAUUACGUAUGAAGAGCAUGUGUUUCCUCUGUGUAUAACAAAACAACUAGACUAUUGGCCUGAGAAAGACAUUCGCGGGAGAACUUGAUGAAGGUACCAGAAGCAAGAAAACUCUGCCAAAACAGGUGGAUGAAAGAAGCAUUGGAAAAACUAGUAAGUUCCCUGCAUCACAAAGCAAAUGGACCAAGGGGAACUAUUUCCAAGAAUCAAAUGUACCUCCAGUGGUAGAGUAAUUAUUCUUCCAUUGGGAUGUAGAUAUGAAGCAGUGGAUGAACAAUCUGGCUCACGGUUAAAGUAGUUCAGAGUACUGAUGUUGGAAAAGCAGGGAAUUGUCUACCUUUUUUAUAUCUAACUUUUUUUUUUUAAUCUUGGUGAAGGGAUACAUCCCACUAAAUUGAUGCAUGAACCUAUAGGUUCAAGUCAAACCAUCAUGGUUAGUAAAAUGCCUCCUUGUUUGAACCA